UAAGCAUAUCAAUAAGCGGAGGAAAAGAAACUAACAAGGAUUCCCCUAGUAGCGGCGAGCGAAGCGGGAAGAGCUCAAAUUUAUAAUCUGGCACCUUCGGUGUCCGAGUUGUAAUCUCUAGAAGUGUUUUCCGCGUUGGACCGCACACAAGUCUGUUGGAAUACAGCGGCAUAGUGGUGAAACCCCCGUAUAUGGUGCGGACGCCCAGCGCUUUGUGAUACACUUUCAAUGAGUCGAGUUGUUUGGGAAUGCAGCUCAAAUUGGGUGGUAAAUUCCAUCUAAAGCUAAAUAUUGGCGAGAGACCGAUAGCGAACAAGUACCGUGAGGGAAAGAUGAAAAGCACUUUGGAAAGAGAGUUAACAGUACGUGAAAUUGUUGGAAGGGAAACGCUUGAAGUCAGACUUGCUUGCCGGAGCUUGCUUCGGUUUGCAGGCCAGCAUCAGUUUUCCGGGGUGGAUAAUGACGGUUUGAAGGUAGCAGUCUCGGCUGUGUUAUAGCUUUCCGUUGGAUACGCCCUGGGGGACUGAGGAACGCAGCGUGCUUUUUGCGAAAGACUCGUCUUUUUCACGCUUAGGAUGCUGGUGGAAUGGCUUUAAACGACCCGUCUUGAA
Molecule: ribosomal RNA, 611 nt
Filed under: Rhodotorula diobovata
Lineage: Eukaryota; Fungi; Basidiomycota; Microbotryomycetes; Sporidiobolales; Sporidiobolaceae
Description: LSU rRNA
Rfam family: Eukaryotic large subunit ribosomal RNA
Source: RNAcentral